GAGUGCUGGGAUUACAGGUGUGAGCCACCACACCCGGCCUUUUCACAUAAAUUUUAGUGUAAACUUACUGGUUUCCAUAAAAAGCCUGCCGGGAUUUUUUUUUUUUUAACUGAGAUUUGGUUUAAUCUAAAGAUGAAUUAGAGAAUUGGCGUCUUAAUACUGGCUGUUCUGAACCAUAGACACAGUAUAUCUCUGCCGUGGUCUGAAUGUUUGCAUACCCGCAAAAUUUAUAUGGUUGAAAUCCUAAUCCCCAGUCCAAUGAUAUUGGCAGGCGAGGCCUUUUGGAGAUGAUUAGGCUAAUGAGGGCAGAGCACUAAUGAAUUAGAUUGGUGCCUUUAUAAAAGAGAUUCCAGAGAGCUUGCUCAUCUCUUCUGCCUUGUGAGGACACAGCAAGAAGUCACCAUCUGUGAACCAAGAAGUGGGACCUCAUCAGAUGCCAAAUCUGCCAACACUUCAAUCUUGGACUUCCCAUUCUCCAGAACUGGCUGGGUAUAAGUAAGCAAGAAGAGGGCCUGGGAGAAGAGUCUGACGAGCAAGGGGAAGGUAGCCAAGGAUGGAGUGAAAUACAGGGUGACCUGUGUUUUUCCCCUGGCUGCUUUGGAAAUUAUGGGAAAAAAUCAAAUACCAAGGAAGAAAAAUCUAUAAUGAAAUUAGAUGUGGAUUUCUUUUUAUGUAUUCAGCUUGGGGGCUUAUGAUAC
This 698-nucleotide long non-coding RNA is filed under the name Homo sapiens (human). RNAcentral's name for it is "HSALNT0255494". Lineage: Eukaryota; Metazoa; Chordata; Mammalia; Primates; Hominidae. The record is from RNAcentral.